CGGGGUGUAGCGCAGUCCGGUUAGCGUAUCUGCUUUGGGAGCAGAGGGUCGCGAGUUCGAAUCUCGCCACCCCGACAA
This 78-nucleotide transfer RNA is filed under the name Porphyromonas sp. HMSC065F10. RNAcentral describes it as "tRNA-Pro". It matches the Rfam family "tRNA". Rfam says of the family: Transfer RNA (tRNA) molecules are approximately 80 nucleotides in length. The record is from RNAcentral. Lineage: Bacteria; Pseudomonadati; Bacteroidota; Bacteroidia; Bacteroidales; Porphyromonadaceae.